UACGAACCGUGCGAACGUUGUUCGGAAUCACUGGGCUUAAAGGGCGCGUAGGCGGGCUCAUAAGUCAGGGGUGAAAUCCCACGGCUCAACCGUGGAAGUGCCUUUGAUACUGUGAGUCUCGAGGGAGGUAGGGGCGUGCGGAACUUCCGGUGGAGCGGUGAAAUGCGUAGAUAUCGGAAGGAACACCGGUGGCGAAAGCGGCGCGCUGGACCUCUUCUGACGCUGAGGCGCGAAAGCCAGGGGAGCAAACGGG
Molecule: ribosomal RNA, 253 nt
Filed under: uncultured bacterium
Lineage: Bacteria
Description: partial 16S ribosomal RNA
Rfam family: Bacterial small subunit ribosomal RNA
Source: RNAcentral